RNAcentral lists this ribosomal RNA (2675 nucleotides) under Porella concinna. RNAcentral describes it as "partial large subunit ribosomal RNA". It matches the Rfam family "Eukaryotic large subunit ribosomal RNA", at positions 23 to 2406 of the family's 3401-position model. The record is from RNAcentral. Lineage: Eukaryota; Metazoa; Bryozoa; Gymnolaemata; Cheilostomatida; Bryocryptellidae.
ACCCGCUGAACUUAAGCAUAUCAGUAAGCGGAGGAAAAGAAACUAACUAGGAUUCCCCGAGUAGCGGCGAGCGAAAGGGGAGAAGCCCAGCGCCGAAGCCCGCGCGUCUCUGCGCGCAGUGCAAUGUGGCGUUUCGGCGGCGACUUGAGGGCAUCGCUCUGGCACGAGUAUCUCUGAAUGGGUCUCCCGUAGCGGGUGUCAGGCCUCUAUCUGCCAGACGGGCGUUGACCUCCUGUCGUCGUCGCGGAGUCGGGUUGCUUGAGAGUGCAGCCCAAAGUGGGUGGUAAGCUCCAUCUAAGGCUAAAUACCUAGUGCGAGACCGAUAGCAAACAAGUACCGUGAGGGAAAGUUGCAAAGAACUUUGAAAAGAGAGUUCAAGAGUACGUGAAACCGUUCAGAGGCAAACGGACGGAACUGGGCGAGUUCGCCGUCGUCAUUCAGCCGACGCUGCUCACGCGGCGGCGGUGCACUUGGCGGCGGCGGAGCGCGACGACCGCCUGUCGGGUCGUCUGAAGCCCGGUGGCAAGGUGGCGACGCGUUCGCGCGUCGUGUUACAGGCCGCCGUGGCGUUGACUGACUUGGCGGGCGAGGAGCGCCUGCGGUGCACUCCCCUCCGGGGAGUGGCCCGACGCGGUGGGCUUUCGGAUGCCGGCGACGAACUGCUCGCAGUUUGAUGCUGUGCGUACUGUCUGUCGCGCCGCGCGGUGCCACGGGGCACCCAGGGUCCGGGUCGUGUGGUUCCUGGCACUCCGUCCGACCCGUCUUGAAACACGGACCAAGGAGUUGAGCACGCGCGCGAGUCGAUGGGCUCGUAGAACCCCAGUGGCGAAGCUAAGGCAAAACGGGCGUGAUCCGGCACUGGCGUGUCGGCGCAACGCCGGCCCGCAGGCGACUCGUUGCAAGUGCCUGCGGUGCAAGAGCGCGUGUGCUCAGACCCGAAAGGUGGUGAACUAUGCUUGAGCAGGGCGAAGCCAGAGGAAACUCUGGUGGAGGCUCGCAGCGAUCCUGACGUGCAAAUCGGUCGUCAAACUUGAGCAUAGGGGCGAAAGACUAAUCGAACCGCCUAGUAGCUGGUUCCCUCCGAAGUUUCCCUCAGGAUAGCUGGCACUCGGGAUAAAUGGUUUUAUCCGGUAAAGCGAAUGAUUAGAGGCAUUGGGGACGAAACGUCCUCAACCUAUUCUCAAACUUUAAAUGGGUAAGAGGCGCGACCCUUCCUGAUCGGGGUCGCGUGCUUGAACAGAGAGUGCCCAGUGGGCCGUUUUUGGUAAGCAGAACUGGCGCUGUGGGAUGAACCAAACGCGCGGUUAGGGUGCCUAACGUACGCUCAUGAGAUACCACAAAAGGUGUUGGUUGAUAUAGACAGCAGGACGGUGGCCAUGGAAGUCGGAAUCCGCUAAGGAGUGUGUAACAACUCACCUGCCGAAUCAACUAGCCCUGAAAAUGGAUGGCGCUGGAGCGUGCGACCCAUACCGCGCCGUCGGGGCAACGCGUGCGAAAUGCCAGGCCCCGACGAGUAGGAGGGCGUGUCGGUGGCGUUGAAGCGUAGUGCGUGAGCACGCGUGGAGCCGCCUUCAGUGCAGAUCUUGGUGGUAGUAGCAAGUAUACAAAUGAGAACUUUGUAGACCGAAGUGGAGAAGGGUUCCAUGUGAACAGCAGUUGGACAUGGGUCAGUCGGCCCUAAGAGAUCGGAAAAUUCCGUUCUGAACGGGGGAGACGCGUCGCGUGACGGCCGUCUGAGCAACGCCGUGCAAAAGCUGGUAUUCUGUAGGUACCGAGGAGCACACGGCGAGAGCGGCGCGCACGCGCUCGCGCACGUCACCCCGAUGCGAUCGAAAGGGAAUCGGGUUAAUAUUCCCGAACCUGGCAGUGGAGAUUGGGCCUUCGGGCCCCAGUGCGGUAACGCAACCGAACUCGGAGACGCCAGCGUCGAUCCCGGGAAGAGUUCUCUUUUCUUUGUUAGGAGCGGACUCCCUGGAAUUGGCUUGUCCAGAGAUAGGGACGUUGCAUCCGUAAAGCGUCGCGCCUCACGCGGCGUCCGGUGCAUCGGCGUUGGCCCUUGAAAAUCCGAGGGAGGCAGUGUAAUUUUCACUCCAGGCCGUACCCGAAUCCGCAGCAGGUCUCCAAGGUGAACAGCCUCUGGUCGAUAGAACAAUGUAGGUAAGGGAAGUCGGCAAAUCCGAUCCGUAACUUCGGGAUAAGGAUUGGCUCUGAGGUGCGGGCUGCUUCGGGUCGCGGCAAGAAGCGGAUCGUGCGUUGGUUGGACUGGGCGCGUUUCGGCGCGUUCGGACCGCCGCCAGCGCGCGUCCGUGGGAGGCCGUGGCUUUCGUUGGCGUGGGCGCAAGCCCGCGUCGGCUUCGUUCGGCCUAAACGCACAGCACAGAACUGGCACGGACUCUGGGAACACGACUGUCUAAUUAAAACAAAGCAUCGCGAUGGCCGCUGGUCGGUGUUGACGCGAUGUGAUUUCUGCCCAGUGCUUUGAAUGUCAAAGUGAAGAAAUUCAACCAAGCGCAGGUAAACGGCGGGAGUAACUAUGACUCUCUUAAGGUAGCCAAAUGCCUCGUCAUCUAAUUAGUGACGCGCAUGAAUGGAUUAACGAUGUUCCCACUGUCCCUAUCUACUAUCUAGCGAAACCACAGCCAAGGGAACGGGCUUGGCAAAUACAGCGGGGAAAG